RNAcentral lists this ribosomal RNA (386 nucleotides) under uncultured bacterium. RNAcentral's name for it is "bacterial SSU rRNA". It matches the Rfam family "Bacterial small subunit ribosomal RNA", at positions 30 to 416 of the family's 1533-position model. The record is from RNAcentral.
CGAACGCUGGCGGCGUGCUUAACACAUGCAAGUCGAGCGGUAAGGCCCUUUCGGGGGUACACGAGCGGCGAACGGGUGAGUAACACGUGGGUGACCUGCCCUCAGCUCUGGGAUAAGCCCGGGAAACUGGGUCUAAUACUGGAUAUGACUCCAUGACGCAUGUUGUGGGGUGGAAAGCCUUGUGCGGCUGAGGAUGGGCCCGCGGCCUAUCAGCUUGUUGGUGGGGUGAUGGCCUACCAAGGCGACGACGGGUAGCCGGCCUGAGAGGGCGACCGGCCGACACUGGGACUGAGACACGGCCCAGACUCCUACGGGAGGCAGCAGUGGGGAAUCUUGCGCAAUGGGCGAAAGCCUGACGCAGCGACGCCGCGUGAGGGAUGACGGCC